This 492-nucleotide ribosomal RNA is filed under the name uncultured bacterium. RNAcentral describes it as "partial 16S ribosomal RNA". It matches the Rfam family "Bacterial small subunit ribosomal RNA", at positions 28 to 507 of the family's 1533-position model. The record is from RNAcentral.
GAUGAACGCUAGCUACAGGCUUAACACAUGCAAGUCGAGGGGAAACGACAUCGAAAGCUUGCUUUUGAUGGGCGUCGACCGGCGCACGGGUGAGUAACGCGUAUCCAACCUGCCCAUCACUUGGGAAUAACCUUGCGAAAGUAAGACUAAUACCCAAUGACAUCCCACGAAGACAUCUGAAUGGGAUUAAAGAUUUAUCGGUGAUGGAUGGGGAUGCGUCUGAUUAGCUUGUUGGCGGGGUAACGGCCCACCAAGGCAACGAUCAGUAGGGGUUCUGAGAGGAAGGUCCCCCACAGUGGAACUGAGACACGGUCCAAACUCAUACGGGAGGCGGCAGUGAGGAAUAUUGGUCAAUGGGCGAGAGCCUGAACCAGCCAAGUAGCGUGCAGGAUGACGGCCCUAUGGGUUGUAAACUGCUUUUAUAAGGGAAUAAAGUGGGUCUCGUGAGACUUUUUGCAUGUACCUUAUGAAUAAGGACCGGCUAAUUCCGUG